Molecule: ribosomal RNA, 401 nt
Filed under: Pedinellales sp.
Lineage: Eukaryota; Dictyochophyceae; Pedinellales
Description: partial small subunit ribosomal RNA
Rfam family: Eukaryotic small subunit ribosomal RNA
Source: RNAcentral
AUUCCAGCUCCAAUAGCGUAUAUUAAUGUUGUUGCAGUUAAAAAGCUCGUAGUUGGAUUUCUGGUUGGACCGCGAUGCCGGACUCGCAAGGGUUCGUGAUUGUUGUGGUUUCCUUCCAUCCUCAGGUUUGCGCGUGCUGGCCUUAACUGGUCGGUGUGUGUGGUCCUGUCGUUUACUGUGAACAAAUUAGAGUGUUCAAAGCAAGGUGUACUUGAAUACAUUAGCAUGGAAUAAUAAGAUAGGACUUUGGUGGUUCUUUUUGAUAUUUUGUUGGUUUGCACGCCAAAGUAAUGAUUAAUAGGAGCAGUUGGGGGUAUUCGUAUUCAAUUGUCAGAGGUGAAAUUCUUGGAUUUAUAGAAGACGAACUACUGCGAAAGCAUUUACCAAGGAUGUUUUCAUUG